GCAUACACUUGACACUAAAAGCAAAACAUAAACGUUAAAGUGCACAAGAUUCAAAAGGGUCUAAAUAGAACAGUCAGAAGAGUCUAAACAGAACAUCACAGAAUAACAGAACACCAAAAAGAGAGUGUAAACAGAACAGCCAAAAAAGAGUGGAAACAGAACAGUCGAAAGAGUCUAAACAGAACAUUCAAAAUGAUGUAUACAGAACAAUCAAAAAGUAAACCGAAUAGUCAAAAGAGUCUAAACAGAACACCAA
RNAcentral lists this long non-coding RNA (256 nucleotides) under Mytilus galloprovincialis (Mediterranean mussel). The record is from RNAcentral. Lineage: Eukaryota; Metazoa; Mollusca; Bivalvia; Mytilida; Mytilidae.